AAACGCUUGAAGUCAGUCGCGUUGGCUGGGAAUCAACCUUGCUUGCACGGUGUACUUCCUAGUUAACGGGUCAACAUCAGUUUUGACUGUUGGAAAAAGGUUAGAGGAAUGUGGCAUCCUCGGAUGUGUUAUAGCCUCUGAUUGUAUACAGCAGUUGGGACUGAGGAACUCAGCACGCCGCAAGGCCGGGAUUUAUCCACGUUCGUGCUUAGGAUGUUGGCAUAAUGGCUUUAAUCGA
RNAcentral lists this ribosomal RNA (238 nucleotides) under Hemimycena sp. Its description in RNAcentral is "partial large subunit ribosomal RNA". The record is from RNAcentral. Lineage: Eukaryota; Fungi; Basidiomycota; Agaricomycetes; Agaricales; Mycenaceae.